Molecule: ribosomal RNA, 253 nt
Filed under: uncultured bacterium
Lineage: Bacteria
Description: partial 16S ribosomal RNA
Rfam family: Bacterial small subunit ribosomal RNA
Source: RNAcentral
GACGAACCGAGCGAACGUUGUUCGGAAUCACUGGGCUUAAAGGGCGCGUAGGCGGGCUGUCAAGUCUGGGGUGAAAUCCCACGGCUCAACCGUGGAACUGCCUUAGAUACUGACGGCCUCGAGGGAGAUAGGGGCGGGCGGAACUGUGAAUGGAGCGGUGAAAUGCGUUGAUAUUCACAGGAACUCCGGUGGCGAAGGCGGCUCGCUGGAUCUUUUCUGACGCUGAGGCGCGAAAGCUAGGGGAGCAAACGGG